GACGAACGCUGGCGGCGUGCUUAACACAUGCAAGUCGAACGGAAAGGCCCUGCUUGCAGGGUACUCGAGUGGCGAACGGGUGAGUAACACGUGGGCGAUCUGCCCUGCACUUCGGGAUAAGCCCGGGAAACUGGGUCUAAUACCGGAUAGGAGCCAUUUUUAGUGUGAUGGUUGGAAAGUUUUUUCGGUGUAGGAUGAGCUCGCGGCCUAUCAGCUUGUUGGUGGGGUAAUGGCCUACCAAGGCGGCGACGGGUAGCCGGCCUGAGAGGGGGGACGGCCACAUUGGGACUGAGAUACGGCCCAGACUCCUACGGGAGGCAGCAGUGGGGAAUAUUGCACAAUGGGCGCAAGCCUGAUGCAGCGACGCCGCGUGGGGGAUGACGGCCUUCGGGUUGUAAACUCCUUUCGCUAGGGACGAAGCUUUGUGCGACGGUACCUAGAUAAGAAGCACCGGCUAACUACGUG
This 465-nucleotide ribosomal RNA is filed under the name uncultured bacterium. RNAcentral's name for it is "partial 16S ribosomal RNA". It matches the Rfam family "Bacterial small subunit ribosomal RNA", at positions 28 to 507 of the family's 1533-position model. The record is from RNAcentral.